UCGGGACCUCUUCGAGAGGUUUCGGUGCUGAAGGGAAGCCGGAUAGUGUGCUACCUGGGAAGUAUAGUCGCAAGGCCGAAACUUAAAGGAAUUGGCGGGGAGACACUACAACGGGUGACGCGUGCGGUUCAAUUGAACUAUACACCGGGAACCUUACCAGGAGCGAUAGCAGGAUGAAGGUCAGCCUAAAGGGCUUACCUGACACGCUAAGAGGAGCUGCAUGUCCGACAUCAGCCUGUGCCGUGAGGUGACCUGUUAAAUCAGGUAACAGGCGAGACCCACAUGCAUAUUUAUUUUCUAUAUACAAAUUGCCCUGGUAACAUGGAUGAAAGCGUGGGCAAUGUUAGGUCUAUAUAGCCCAAAUCCCCUGGGCAACACGCGCGCGUCAAAGGUGAAUACAACGAGAUGCAACUCCGAAAGGAGAAGCCAAUCUCUUAAAGUUCAUCUCAGUCUAGAUCGAGGUUUGUCACUCAGCCUCGUGACAAUGGAAUCCGAACCAAUCGUUUGUCAACAGCGAACGGUGAAUAUGUCACUGUCUCUUGCACACACUGACCGUCAAACCAACCGAGUUUAUUUAUGAUGAAACUUUUCUAAGGAUAAUUUUGGGUAGACAAGGUAGGUUAAGUCGUAACAAGGUAGCC
RNAcentral lists this ribosomal RNA (641 nucleotides) under uncultured archaeon. RNAcentral describes it as "bacterial SSU rRNA". It matches the Rfam family "Archaeal small subunit ribosomal RNA", at positions 774 to 1448 of the family's 1478-position model. The record is from RNAcentral.